AGAGUUUGUAUCCUGGCUACAGAACGAAACGCUGGCGGCAUGCCUAACACAUGCAAGUCGAACGAUUGCCUUCGGGUGAUAGUGGCGCACGGGUGCGUAACGCGUGGGAAUCUGCCCUUUGUACGGGAUAACAGCGGGAAACUGCUGCUAAUACCGUAUGAUGACGUAAGUCCAAAGAUUUAUCGCCAGAGGAUGAGCCCGCGUAGGAUUAGGUAGUUGGUGGGGUAAAGGGCCUACCAAGCCGACGAUCCUUAGCUGGUCUGAGAGGAUGAUCAGCCACACUGGGACUGAGACACGGCCCAGACUCCUACGGGAGGCAGCAGUGGGGAAUAUUGGACGAUGGGCGCAAGCCUGAUCCAGCAAUGCCGCGUGAGUGAUGAAGGCCUUAGGGUUGUAAAGCUCUUUUACCCGGGAAGAUAAUGACUGUACCGGGAGAAUAAGCCCCGGCUAACUCCGUG
RNAcentral lists this ribosomal RNA (458 nucleotides) under uncultured Sphingomonas sp. Its description in RNAcentral is "bacterial SSU rRNA". It matches the Rfam family "Bacterial small subunit ribosomal RNA", at positions 8 to 507 of the family's 1533-position model. Lineage: Bacteria; Pseudomonadati; Pseudomonadota; Alphaproteobacteria; Sphingomonadales; Sphingomonadaceae. The record is from RNAcentral.